RNAcentral lists this ribosomal RNA (1298 nucleotides) under Auplopus sp. SJW-2017. RNAcentral's name for it is "16S ribosomal RNA". Lineage: Eukaryota; Metazoa; Arthropoda; Insecta; Hymenoptera; Pompilidae. The record is from RNAcentral.
AUUAAUAAAUUAUAAUUUUAAAAUUUAAUUUUUUAUAAGAUAAAAAAAAUAUAAAUAAUUUAAUUAAAAUCAAAGUAUAUAUAAAAAAAAGAUUAAAUUAAUAAUUAAUAUAUGUAAAUAAAAUAUAAUAAUAAUAAUAAAGAAAUUUUUAUUAAUUAUACCUUUUGUAUCAGGGAUAAAUAAAAAAAACAUUAUUUAAAAUAAUAAUCUCGAAAUUAAAUGAGCUAUUUUAAUAUAAAAAUUAAUAUAACAAAAUUAUUUUAAAUAUUAAAAUUGAAAGUGAAAUAUUAUUAGAAUUUAAUGAUAUCUAGUUUUUUAAUAAAUAAAUUUAAUUUAUUCUAAAUAAAUAUUAAAAAGUAAUUUAAAUACUAUUUAAUAAAUAAUUAGAAAAAAAUAAACGGGAUAAUCUGUUUAUUUAAUAUUAAAAAUAAAAUUUUUUUUAAUCAUAAGUAUAAUAUUAAAUUAUUUAUCUUAAGAGAAAAUGUUAUAAUUCAUUAGAAUAUAAAAAUAAUUUAAAUUUUAAAUUUUAAAUAUAAUAUUAAAAAAAAAUUAUUAAUUAAUAAUAAUUUAAUAAAAUAUUUAUACAAGUAAAAUUUUAUAAAUUAAUCUAAAAAUUAAAUAAAUUAAAUUUAAGGAAUUAGGCAAUAUAAUUUUCAAAUGUUUAUCAAAAACAUUGCUUUUAGAUUUAAAUUUAAAGUAAUUUCUGCUCACUGAUUUUAAAAUUAAAGAGCUGCAGUAAAUUAACUGUGCAAAGGUAGCGUAAUAACUUGAUUCUUAAUUAGAAUCUAGAAUGAAAGAAAUAAUGAAAAAUUAACUGUCUCAAAUUUAAAAAUUUAAUCUUAAUUUUCAGUUAAAAUGCUGAAAUUUAAUUGUUAGACGAUAAGACCCUGUAGAAUUUUAUAAAUUAAUUAAAUAUUUUUUAUAAAAAAUUAAUUUUAUUUAUUAAAUUGGGGAAAUUAUUAGAAUAAAAAAACUCUAAUUAAAUAAUUUAACAUAAAUAAAAGAAUUUAUGAAUAUAAUAAAUAUUAUAAUAAAAGAAUAAAUUACCUCAGGGAUAACAGCAUAAUAAAAUUAUAAAGAUCAUAUUUAUAAUUUAGUUUAUGACCUCGAUGUUGAAUUAAGAAUUUUAUUAAGUGCAGAAGCUUAAUUAAAUAGUCUGUUCGACUAAUAUUAUCUUACAUGAUUUGAGUUAAAUUCGACGCAAGUCAGAAUGGUUUCUAUCUUCAAUAUUUAUAAUUAUUUAUUGUACGAAAGGACCUAAAUAAAAUAAUUUUUUAUUUAUUAAUGAAUUAAAAUAA